AUUGAACGCUGGCGGCAUGCCUUACACAUGCAAGUCGAACGGCAGCACGGGAGCAAUCCUGGUGGCGAGUGGCGAACGGGUGAGUAAUAUAUCGGAACGUGCCCAGUCGUGGGGAUAACGUAGCGAAAGCUACGCUAAUACCGCAUACGAUCUAUGGAUGAAAGCGGGGGAUCGCAAGACCUCGCGCGAUUGGAGCGGCCGAUAUCAGAUUAGGUAGUUGGUGAGGUAAAGGCUCACCAAAGCCGACGAUCUGUAGCUGGUCUGAGAGGACGACCAGCCACACUGGGACUGAGACACGGUCCAGACUCCUACGGGAGGCAGCAGUGGGGAAUUUUGGACAAUGGGCGCAAGCCUGAUCCAGCAAUGC
RNAcentral lists this ribosomal RNA (367 nucleotides) under uncultured bacterium. Its description in RNAcentral is "bacterial SSU rRNA". It matches the Rfam family "Bacterial small subunit ribosomal RNA", at positions 30 to 397 of the family's 1533-position model. The record is from RNAcentral.